UCUCCGUAGGUGAACCUGCGGAGGGAUCAUUACAGAGUUCAUGCCCUACCGGGUAGAUCUCCCACCCUAUGUUAUUAUUACUUUGUUGCUUUGGCGGGCCGUUAGGCUCCGGCCCGACUACCGGCCCCGGCUGGUAAGCGCCCGCCGGUGGACCCAAAACCCUGAAUAUUAGUGUCGUCUGAGUACUAUAUAAUAGUUAAAACUUUCAACAACGGAUCUCUUGGUUCUG
This 229-nucleotide unclassified non-coding RNA is filed under the name plant metagenome. Its description in RNAcentral is "partial contains small subunit ribosomal RNA, internal transcribed spacer 1, and 5.8S ribosomal RNA". The record is from RNAcentral.